UAAAAAUGUUAAUUUUCUGAUUUCAGACAAAGMUGGUGCUGUGUUAGAGGAAAGAGGUGACUACCAACCUGUUAUCACAGACAGGAAUUGCUGCACAUGAAAGUUGAAAUCGGCACAGGCUUGGUACAGCCUGUCUACUGCAAGGAAUUCAAAGCAUCUAGCAAUCUUACCAUCAACUUGACCAGAGACCUUAUCAUCCGAUG
This is a long non-coding RNA of Austrofundulus limnaeus, 203 nucleotides long. RefSeq lists it as uncharacterized. The transcript has 3 exons. Lineage: Eukaryota; Metazoa; Chordata; Actinopteri; Cyprinodontiformes; Rivulidae. The record is from RefSeq and is a predicted model, not a curated record.